ACAGACGGACGGACGGACGGACGGGCGGACGGGCGGGCGGGCGGACGGACGGGGUUGGAGGUGAGAGAGUUCUCUAACGGAACAUCAUUAUUAAGUCUGUAAUAGUAUAAUAAUAAUAAUACUCAUUAAAGUGGAACCGACCAAGUGUUUUAACUACUUUGCAGAUAUGAAAUAAAUAGACAAUCACAAUAUCAGUAAAAAAAAACAAAAUAAAUCCCAGUUUACGCUAUAAAAACCAACUUUAUAACAUUCCAUGAUGUAGAGUAAGGCAUUGUUGGCAGAACAGAUGAAUGCAGUUCAAAUGCAUGAUUAAUAGAAUUCACCAAUACAUUUCUUGGUCGUUCCCAAAAAACAUAUUGCUAUCAGGUUGUAAAUCAACAGCUGGCCUGCUACAUUGUUUGCUGCCUUCCCAUUCGGGAUGCAUUGUUUCAGUUUCAAUGAAACCAAAAAACAUACUUAAGUUAUAAAGGCUGGGAAUGUCAAUACAAUCAAACUAGCAAAGGGCAACGAUCACAAGUCAGUGUUAACGUGGCUAAUAGGCUAACGUAUCUAUUUAUGUAGAAAGCUAAAAACACAGAGGCUAACGUUAGCUAGCUAGCUGUUAGGAGGAUGUCAUGUCAGUGGAGGAGAGGGUGAGUGACUGACUGUUUCCCCCUCAUAUUGUUUUUCGGUGGCUACACACAGCUAGAGAAUGCAGGUGUAAUUUCGUUAGCUAGCAAGAAAUGUGAAUCGCUUCGCUAGCUAGCUAUGUUGAAGUUGAACGACUGCUUAUCGAGUUAGCAUAUCUCUUGCGUUUCGCAAAUUUACUCUUGUCUAUCUACUCUGAUUUCAGAGCACUCUCGUCUGAGUGUGCCAGAGCGCAGAAUAACUGAUGAAUUUACCAAUAACUAAUUUACGAACGCGCAAAACCCACUGAAUAUGACCGGGGUCGGUAAACGUCGGCAAAAAAAAGUCAUAAUUAGUCAAGGACGUUCUAGAUAACAUGUAAACAGCUUAACCAGCUCUGCUAGGGAGAGUAAAACGGUCACACUGAGGUGUUCUCUCAUUCGUUCUCCGGAAAUAGAUAGCUAACAAGCUAGCCAACUUUUGCCAGUUAGCUUGGGUGCUUGGUUGGGACAAGCAUGCAUUGGCAGGCAAGCUGCAGAAGGCUAGCAUUAGUUCUUCAUCUGGCUAGCAUUAGUUAUUGAUCUGGCUAGCAUUAGUUGUUGAUCUGGCUAGCAUUAGUUGUUGAUCUGGCUAGCAUUAGUUGUUGAUCUGGCUAGCAUUAGUUAUUGAUCUGGCUAGCAUUAGUUGUUGAUCUGGCUAGCAUUAGUUGUUGAUCUGGCUAGCAUUAGUUGUUGAUCUGGCUAGCAUUAGUUAUUGAUCUGGCUAGCAUUAGUUGUUGAUCUGGCUAGCAUUAGUUGUUGAUCUGGCUAGCAUUAGUUGUUGAUCUGGCUAGCAUUAGUUGUUGAUCUGGAUAGCAUUAGUUGUUGAUCUGGCUAGCAUUAGUUGUUGAUCUGGAUAGCAUUAGUUAUUCAUCUGGCUAGCAUUAGUUGUUGAUCUGGCUAGCAUUAGUUGUUGAUCUGGCUAGCAUUAGUUGUUGAUCUGGCUAGCAUUAGUUGUUGAUCUGGAUAACAUUAGUUAUUCAUCUGGCUAGCAUUAGUUGUUGAUCUGGCUAGCAUUAGUUGUUGAUCUGGCUAGCAUUAGUUGUUGAUCUGGCUAGCAUUAGUUGUUGAUCUGGCUAGCAUUAGUUGUUGAUCUGGCUAGCAUUAGUUGUUGAUCUGGCUAGCAUUAGUUGUUGAUCUGGCUAGCAUUAGUUAUUGAUCUGGCUAGCAUUAGUUGUUCAUCUGGCUAGCAUUAGUUGUUGAUCUGGCUAGCAUUAGUUGUUGAUCUGGCUAGCAUUAGUUGUUGAUCUGGAUAGCAUUAGUUAUUGAUCUGGCUAGCAUUAGUUAUUCAUCUGGCUAGCAUUAGUUGUUGAUCUGGCUAGCAUUAGUUGUUGAUCUGGCUAGCAUUAGUUGUUGAUCUGGCUAGCAUUAGUUGUUGAUCUGGCUAGCAUUAGUUGUUGAUCUGGCUAGCAUUAGUUGUUGAUCUGGCUAGCAUUAGUUGUUGAUCUGGCUAGCAUUAGUUGUUGAUCUGGCUAGCAUUAGUUAUUGAUCUGGCUAGCAUUAGUUAUUGAUCUUGUUGUUGAUGUGUAUAACAGAGAGAGAGAGUCUACCUUUUCAUGGUUAUUGAUGUGUAUAACUGAGAGAGAGUCUGCCUUUUCAUGGUUAUUGAUGUGUAUAACUGAGGGAGAGAGAGUCUACCUUUUCAUGGUUAUUGAUGUGUAUAACUGAGAGAGAGUCUACCUUUUCAUGGUUAUUGAUGUGUAUAACAGAGAGAGAGAGAGAGAGUCUACCUUUUCAUGGUUAUUGAUGUGUAUAACUGAGAGAGAGUCUACCUUUUCAUGGUUAUUGAUGUGUAUAACUGAGGGAGAGAGUCUACCUUUUCAUGGUUAUUGAUGUGUAUAACUGAGAGAGAAGAGAGAGUCUACCUUUUCAUGGUUAUUGAUGUGUAUAACUGAGAGAGAGAGAGAGAGUCUACCUUUUCAUGGUUGUUGAUGUGUAUAACUGAGAGAGAGUCUACCUUUUCAUGGUUAUUGAUGUGUAUAACUGAGGAGAGAGAGAGAGUCUACCUUUUCAUGGUUAUUGAUGUGUAUAACUGAGAGAGAGAGUCUACCUUUUCAUGGUUAUUGAUGUGUAUAACUGAGAGAGAGAGAGAGUCUACCUUUUCAUGGUUGUUGAUGUGUAUAACUGAGAGAGAGAGAGUCUACCUUUUCAUGGUUAUUGAUGUGUAUAACUGAGAGAGAGAGUCUACCUUUUCAUGGUUGUUUGACCAAUAGGACUGGCAAGUUCCCAAACGUAAGAGGACUCUCCCGUGGUAUUUACAUAUUUGCAGAAAUCCAUUCAGGUGUGUAUUUUGUGGCUUUUGCCGAAUGCAUUCUAAUGUCUCGCUGUUGCAAAUACCUGUAAACACACAGUCCAGUUCAAAGUGAAUGAUGGCAGGCCCGUGUGGCAAAUGGCUUUGUUUGCAUAUAGGUCCUACCGUACCUCUGAUUGGCUAAAAGGCCCACCAAUCUGCGUAGACUCCGGUCCUGGACGAGACAGAUGUUUUUAUUAGGUUUUAUGUACUGCAGUGUCUGUUAAUUGUCCAAACGCACAGCCGCUUUCCCACUCUAUAUAUUACUACAGAAUUUUCACAAAAUGCCUUCCUAUAUACGCAAUUCCCUAAACAUUCUACGAAUGUAUUAAAAAUGUUAAAAAGACAAUAUCUAAGCGCUCGCUUGUCAGAAAAUGUGAAGAAAAAAAAAGAAAAAAACACAUAGCAUAUUCUUCCUGGGGGUGAAUAUGAACAG
RNAcentral lists this long non-coding RNA (3370 nucleotides) under Salmo salar (Atlantic salmon). Its description in RNAcentral is "lncRNA (ENSSSAG00000109451.1)". The record is from RNAcentral. Lineage: Eukaryota; Metazoa; Chordata; Actinopteri; Salmoniformes; Salmonidae.